UCCACUGUUGCGUUUUUCAUACGUACGUAUACGCACGUAAAACUUUAAAUCCGUUUAAAUGUUACUUGUGAAAUAACCAAAUAAAUGAAGCAACAGAAUUUAGUGUUCCGCAAGUUUUAGUACGCAUUUGUUAACUUAUUUUGUAAAAUAUUUAAAAAAUAGAAGGAUUCAAAGUUUUACGUGCGUGUAUACGUGCGUACGAAAAACGCAACAGUGGA
Molecule: microRNA precursor, 218 nt
Filed under: Paramuricea clavata
Lineage: Eukaryota; Metazoa; Cnidaria; Anthozoa; Malacalcyonacea; Plexauridae
Source: RNAcentral